Long non-coding RNA from Syngnathus acus (greater pipefish), 253 nucleotides. RefSeq lists it as uncharacterized. The record is from RefSeq and is a predicted model, not a curated record. The transcript has 3 exons. NCBI's taxonomy places the organism in Eukaryota, Metazoa, Chordata, Actinopteri, Syngnathiformes, Syngnathidae.
AUCUGGCAGAGAUGUUGGAGUGAACCUGUUCGGGGGCGGCUUGUAGAUGUUGACGAUGGCGGUGUCUUGCACUUUAGUUGCAAUCCAUUCCACCUCUGCAUCUUUUGGGGACUGUGCUAUAGCUGACCAAGCCAUGUUGUUACGAACGAACUUCGCAGAAUUAUGAACAGUGUCUCAGAAGAGUGGAAUUGGAAUCAACCUCCCAUCUAUCCAAGACUUGUACCUGUUCCAGGACCAGGAAACGUGCAAGUAA